This 546-nucleotide long non-coding RNA is filed under the name Ananas comosus (pineapple). RNAcentral's name for it is "long non-coding RNA (ACOM_LNC030856)". Lineage: Eukaryota; Viridiplantae; Streptophyta; Magnoliopsida; Poales; Bromeliaceae. The record is from RNAcentral.
UCCAAAACACAAUCUCAUUCAUUAUAUAUCCAAUAGUAGCAGUACAUUAAAUAAGAAAAGGUUAUACAGUUUUAAAGAUAGCUGACAAUUGAGUUUUGAAUAGUUAACAAAAAUUUAAAUAGUUCAAUGGUUUUCUUCACUUUUAGGCCCAUGACUUGUAUUUGAUGAUUGAUGACAAUUGAAGAGUGCAUCAAUCGCAUUAAUAUUGCCGCGCACAACCUAAAAAAAUAUCAAACAAUAUAAAUAUUAUUAAUUAUACUAAAAUACAAAAACUAUUCAGAUAUAUCAUUAGUAAUAACUUUGUUAUCAACUUGAUAUACCUCAGAAUUAAGAACUCUAUCUGAUAGUAGUGCUUUUAAGCAAUCCAUUUCCUCUCGCAUCUGUCUAACUGUAGAAUCACAUCUCUCUAGUAGUCCCACAAGUUAUUUCUUCCCUCACUUGUUCUUCUAAAUAAAAAAUAAAACUUUGGGUUAGUCAAUUUAAAUUAUGACCCAAUCAAAAUAACUCUACUAAACCAAUUCACAUGUACCAACAUGUAACAAAUUA